This 760-nucleotide long non-coding RNA is filed under the name Nicotiana tabacum (common tobacco). Its description in RNAcentral is "long non-coding RNA (NTAB_LNC006422)". Lineage: Eukaryota; Viridiplantae; Streptophyta; Magnoliopsida; Solanales; Solanaceae. The record is from RNAcentral.
GCGGCUCUUAAGAUAUGUUGCUCAUAUUUUGAGGCAAGUAAUGGAAUUAUCCAUUUCCUCUUUUCUGCUCUCCCCCAAGUACAUUAUGUGACCUAAUUUUCAUUGUUCAGAGUCUAGGAUGAGAGAAUCUGAUUUCAACAUUUAGGUUUUGAAUGUGAGAAAGAUUUUAUGCAGGCUUUGUCUCAGACCCUAUAUGGUUUUUUUUUAAAAAGAAAAAAAUUGAAGUGCUUGAUGUGUACUGCUUUCCGUGCUUAGUGGAGAACUCAUGUUGAGGUUGCUUUUAUAAUUUUGCAGGUAGAGUAACUGGGGAUGUUUGAGGAGCUAUGCUAUAAUUUGAAUCUUCAUUAGUAUACUUGAGAGAAACUGAACUUGUAGGAUUUGUGAAUCCUUUAGCACCACAUGAUGGUUCGUGGUUGCUAAGGUGAUUUAGAAUACAAAUGACAUUCCUUUUGUCUCGAGACUUACCUUUUGGACUAUGCCCAUACUUUAUGCAGCUGAACUAAGCAUUAGUUCCUUUCAAUUGAUGUAUUGCUUAUGUAUUCGCUCAUUUAUUUGUGCAUCCUUUCAUGGAUUUGGUUGCAGCUUUUUUGGUUCAGCUUCAUUUGUGUGCGCGGGAGCCGAUACCGAAAGAGGGUGGGAGAUUGCAUAUUGCUACUAAGAUAAGUUUAUUCUGGGUCUCAUCGCAUAGAUGGGGCGGAGGUUGCUAGAUGAACAAUGAUGGAUCAUGGAAUGCAAGUGCGCAAAGGUCUUUAGAAUUUGU